UUAUGGCUCAGGAUGAACGCUAGCUACAGGCUUAACACAUGCAAGUCGAGGGGCAGCAUUGGAGUAGCAAUACUCAGAUGGCGGCCGGCGCACGGGUGAGUAACACGUAUCCAACCUGCCGCUUACUCGGGGACUAGCCUUUCGAAAGAAAGAUUAAUACCCGAUGGUAUAAAGAGUUCGCAUGUUCUCUUUAUUAAAGAAUUUCGGUAAGCGAUGGGGAUGCGUUCCAUUAGAUAGUUGGCGGGUAACGGCCCACCAAGUCUACGAUGGAUAGGGGUUCUGAGAGGAAGGUCCCCCACAUUGGAACUGAGACACGGUCCAAACUCCUACGGGAGGCAGCAGUGAGGAAUAUUGGUCAAUGGACGAGAGUCUGAACCAGCCAAAGUAGCGUGAAGGAUGACUGCCCUAUGGGUUGUAAACUUCUUUUAUAAGGGAAUAAAGUGAGGGACGUGUCCCUUUUUGUAUGUACCUUAUGAAUAAGGAUCGGCUAACUCCGUGCCAGCCGCGGC
This 509-nucleotide ribosomal RNA is filed under the name uncultured bacterium. Its description in RNAcentral is "bacterial SSU rRNA". It matches the Rfam family "Bacterial small subunit ribosomal RNA", at positions 17 to 518 of the family's 1533-position model. The record is from RNAcentral.